GACGAACGCUGGCGGCGUGCUUAACACAUGCAAGUCGAACGGUAAGGCCCUUCGGGGUACACGAGUGGCGAACGGGUGAGUAACACGUGGGUGAUCUGCCCUGCACUUCGGGAUAAGCCUGGGAAACUGGGUCUAAUACCGGAUAGGACCACUGACUGCAUGGGUGGUGGGGGAAAGCUUUUGCGGUGUGGGAUGGGCCCGCGGCCUGUCAGCUUGUUGGUGGGGUGAUGGCCUACCAAGGCGACGACGGGUAGCCGGCCUGAGAGGGUGACCGGCUAAACUGGGACUGAGAUACGGCCCAGACUCCUACGGGAGGCAGCAGCGGGGAAUAUUGCACAAUGGGCGCAAGCCUGAUGCAGCGACGCCGCGUGAGGGAUGACGGCCUUCGGGUUGUAAACCUCUUUCAGCACCGACGAAGCGCAAGUGACGGUAGGUGCAGAAGAAGGACCGGCCAACUACGUGCCAGCCGCCGCAGUAA
This 478-nucleotide ribosomal RNA is filed under the name uncultured bacterium. Its description in RNAcentral is "partial 16S ribosomal RNA". It matches the Rfam family "Bacterial small subunit ribosomal RNA", at positions 28 to 523 of the family's 1533-position model. The record is from RNAcentral.